UACAUGUGGGGCAAGCGUUGUUCGGAAUCACUGGGCAUAAAGGGUGCGUAGGUGGUUGGGUAAGUCUGAUGUGAAAUCUCCGAGCUCAACUCGGAAACUGCAUCGGAUACUAUUCAACUCGAGGGUUGGAGGGGGACUGGAAUGCUUGGUGUAGCAGUGAAAUGCGUAGAUAUCAAGCGGAACACCAGUGGCGAAGGCGAGUCCCUGGACAACUCCUGACACUGAGGCACGAAAGCUAGGGGAGCAAACGGGAUUAGAAACCCCAGUAGU
RNAcentral lists this ribosomal RNA (270 nucleotides) under uncultured bacterium. Its description in RNAcentral is "partial 16S ribosomal RNA". It matches the Rfam family "Bacterial small subunit ribosomal RNA", at positions 524 to 794 of the family's 1533-position model. The record is from RNAcentral.